GUGCCAGCAGCCGCGGUAAGACGAACCACACAAACGUUAUUCGGAAUUACUGGGCUUAAAGGGUGCGUAGGCGGCGCGGAAAGUAGGGUGUGAAAUCCCUCGGCUCAACCGAGGAAUUGCGCCCUAAACUACCGUGCUCGAGGGAGAUAGAGGUGAGCGGAACUUAGGGUGGAGCGGUGAAAUGCGUUGAUAUCCUAAGGAACACCGGUGGCGAAAGCGGCUCACUGGAUCUCUUCUGACGCUGAGGCACGAAAGCUAGGGUAGCGAACGGGAUUAGAUACCCCAGUAGUCC
This 292-nucleotide ribosomal RNA is filed under the name uncultured bacterium. RNAcentral describes it as "partial 16S ribosomal RNA". It matches the Rfam family "Bacterial small subunit ribosomal RNA", at positions 505 to 796 of the family's 1533-position model. The record is from RNAcentral.